AUCACAUGGAAAGGAAGGGCAGGUGACCCCUAGGGGUUGAGGGUCUCAGUCCUACAACUGCAAGGAGCUGAAUUCGCACGACAACCAGUGCAUUGGGAAGAGGGACCCUGAGUCUAUGACGCGAGAGCUAUUGUGCGAGGUCAUAAAGAGCAUGUGGUCACCAGUUGACCUUCAGGCUGGUCAGCCAAUGGACACUCAUCACUCCCUCCCCCGUCCUUGGAUGGUACAUUCUGCUUGCCUCCCCCAUUCCCAGAGGCUGCCCCAAAGAUACAGCCUUGAGAUAGCUUGUGUUGACAGCCUGUGGCUGUGUGGGGGCCAGAUUCAGAUGGCAUCCGAGGAGCUCCCAGCCCUGGCUGCCACCUUGAUUUCAGCCUGGUGAGACCCUGAGCAGGAGACCCAGCUAACCUGGACCUUGGCUCUCGACCUUUGGAAACUGCAAGCAAGUCACAGCUUCAAAGCCCCUCCAUGUGCUCAUCAAGACCCAGUCUCACCAGGCAGAAGAAAGGACUCUUAAGGACUCCAGGAUGCUCUGCUCUAAGCUGGAGGCAGUCCUGCUGUCACAAAUGAGUGAGUCUCCGGGGGCCCGACGAGGGGUCCGCAGGGCUGGGCUCUGUCCCACCUUCCCAGACCUCGGCGUGAGACCACAGGGCACCUGUCGUCUCUUCCUCAUUGUCUACCUGAUCUCUUCUUGUUCAUCUGUGGGGACCAUCUCCUCCGGGAAGCCUCCCUGAGUGCAGUCUGAGUCAGCCUCCUUGGCCAGGGUCCUGUUGCCCACGGACUUUGCCUUCAGAGCAACUGUGAUUGACAACCUAUCCGA
This is a long non-coding RNA of Panthera uncia (snow leopard), 817 nucleotides long. RefSeq lists it as uncharacterized. The transcript is spliced from 3 exons. Lineage: Eukaryota; Metazoa; Chordata; Mammalia; Carnivora; Felidae. The record is from RefSeq and is a predicted model, not a curated record.